UCUCUCAAAUCGAUUUUUAGACUUGUUCUCCUGUGGGUGUGUUAAUUUCCCCUCAUCUCUUUCUUUUUUGUAUCUGAUAGGGUUGUUAUCCAUCCAUCUCUGGCUCUCAGCAGCUCCUUUCAUUGUAGCUGGCGUCGAUGCUGUAACCGUUGGGGUUUAUCUCCUUCGAAAAUCUCCGGUUCGUGUUAUUGAGGCAAGUAUCCGGUUGCUGUAGCUGGCGUCGCUGCUGUAGCUGAAAAAGUUCUUCCAUUUUGAUAGGGUUACAAUAUCCACAGUUUAGCAAUCUCGUUGCGGUGACGGUCCACAAAUAUCGUUGUAUAGUGAACAUUGUGACCGCAAGAGAUUCAUCCAGAGAAGGCAGGAAAGAGCUGUAGGCUACAUACCUCAGGAUCAAAGAUUCAAAACUUAUUAAGUUAUUAUCAAAUCUCCUUAGUCCUAAUCUAACUUUCUAAUUUUGACUUGUAUAUGAACUUGGAAGUUUUCCGCUGCUAUACAUUGGACUUAAUUUAUGAACCACUUUUUCCAACCUGAGUGUGUUAUUUGGGUUGUUAGAUGAUUGAGAUUACAAAUAACUGAACUUCAAACUCAAGAAAAAGGCAGAUAGAAUUUUAGAAUUGGUCAAGAGAUCCUGAUGGAAGAUAACUUGCCCGAUGAUGAGAUAGAAAUUGAUUUGUCUCCUAUAGCUGUACAAUUGGCCUAUGUCCAGCAGUGGCAGUGAACAAUCUUGUUUCACUGAAAGGUACAAAAGAUGCUUCUGAUAGCCUAAGGAAACUUGAUUGGCUAAAAGAGAAAGAGACGCAGAACUUUCGGCUAGCUCGUGGACUGGAUUUGAAACUUUCAGCAAAGGAAAGGGAGAAAGAGAAAGCUAAGGAAAGGAGAAAGAGAAAGCCAAGGUAUCCUAAAGGGUUUGACCCUGCAAAACCAGGUCCUCCCCCAGAUCCAGAGAGGUGGCUUCCCAAGCGGGAGAGAUCAACUUAUAGGCCUAAGAGGAAGGACAAAAGAGCUGCUCAGGUGAGAGGUUCUCAGGGUGCUGUAGUUAGAGAAAAGCACGGUGCUGUUGCCUUUUCCAGCAAUUCAAAUCCUAAAUCAAACCAGUCAACUGCCUCCAAAGGAGCUACGCAGAAUGCAGUUUGAGCAAAGCAAGCCUUCAUCAUCCAAGUCGAGAAAGAAGUCUUUGAAUUGACCAGGUUUUAUGGUGCUACCAAUGAGAAACAACCAUAGUCAAAUCCAGAGAUAGGUUCUACAUCUCAAUGGGGACGCAAGAGGAAGGGUCUUGCAAACCACCUGCAGAGGAAGACUAACACUGCAAAGUAACAUAGUUGCUGUACCUGAUAAGCUUGCAGAUGUUGUAUCAGUGAUUUGCUGAUAAAUUAUAAUGUAAGAAGAAUCUGAAGGCAACACCUGUUGGGGGAUAAUGAAGCAUCUCCACUUUGUCACAUUUGUGGAAGAGGAUCUUAAUAGCUGUGUCAUUCAUUUAACUAGUAGGGAUCUGAUAAGUUUAUACAUAGGGCUGAAUGUGUCCAAGAAGAGUAGUAUGCUGUAUAGGAAUUUCCUUGUGUACUUUGAUCUUUGAUUACACUUUGUUCAUAGUCAUGUACCAUUCUGAUGUGUAACUUAUGAAGCAACUAAAUAUAUUUCAGUGAUUCAAUUAAUAUGAAGCAAUU
This is a long non-coding RNA of Gastrolobium bilobum, 1664 nucleotides long. RefSeq lists it as uncharacterized. The transcript has 5 exons. The record is from RefSeq and is a predicted model, not a curated record. NCBI's taxonomy places the organism in Eukaryota, Viridiplantae, Streptophyta, Magnoliopsida, Fabales, Fabaceae.